CGCAUUCAAAUAAAGCAACACUGUUUUAGCAUCUCUCAAUUUUUUUUCGUUUAUAUAAAGUCGGACAUCGUGCGUGAACAUAUAAAAUAUAUAUCGAAUAGAACAACAGAUUAAUACAACCCUGUAAAUACGAUAAAAUGUCGGCUGAAAACCAAUUACUCUAAAAAUUCUUACGUCGCUGCCGCGGCUCCUCCGGUUCUGCUGGAAGCUGAUCCUUUGUAUCCCGUUGAACCGGAAAUUGGCGUCUUUGCUCUCGAAGCCAUUUUGCUUCUAGAACCGGAAGUCUGACCUUGCAUGGGGCUACCACCAGAUGUGGACGAAACCGAUGGUGG
Molecule: long non-coding RNA, 332 nt
Organism: Bombus huntii
Lineage: Eukaryota; Metazoa; Arthropoda; Insecta; Hymenoptera; Apidae
Exons: 2
Source: RefSeq, a predicted model, not a curated record